This 643-nucleotide ribosomal RNA is filed under the name uncultured bacterium. Its description in RNAcentral is "bacterial SSU rRNA". It matches the Rfam family "Bacterial small subunit ribosomal RNA", at positions 232 to 885 of the family's 1533-position model. The record is from RNAcentral.
CGCGGCCUAUCAGCUUGUUGGUGGGGUAAUGGCCCACCAAGGCGACGACGGGUAGCCGGCCUGAGAGGGCGACCGGCCACACUGGGACUGAGAUACGGCCCAGACUCCUACGGGAGGCAGCAGUGGGGAAUAUUGCGCAAUGGGCGAAAGCCUGACGCAGCAACGCCGCGUGCGGGAUGAAGGCCUUCGGGUUGUAAACCGCUUUCAGCAGGGACGAAGCGAAAGUGACGGUACCUGCAGAAGAAGCACCGGCCAACUACGUGCCAGCAGCCGCGGUAAUACGUAGGGUGCGAGCGUUGUCCGGAAUUAUUGGGCGUAAAGGGCUCGUAGGCGGUCUGUCACGUCGGGAGUGAAAACUCGGGGCUCAACCCCGAGCCUGCUUCCGAUACGGGCAGACUAGAGGUAUGCAGGGGAGAAUGGAAUUCCUGGUGUAGCGGUGAAAUGCGCAGAUAUCAGGAGGAACACCGGUGGCGAAGGCGGUUCUCUGGGCAUUACCUGACGCUGAGGAGCGAAAGUGUGGGGAGCGAACAGGAUUAGAUACCCUGGUAGUCCACACCGUAAACGUUGGGCGCUAGGUGUGGGACUCAUUCCACGAGUUCCGUGCCGCAGCUAACGCAUUAAGCGCCCCGCCUGGGGAGUACGG